Small nucleolar RNA from Cottoperca gobio, 82 nucleotides. Its record names the gene SNORD79. It matches the Rfam family "Small nucleolar RNA SNORD79". Rfam says of the family: snoRNA U79 or Z22 is found in intron 7 of the gas5 gene in humans and is also present in mice. U79 is a member of the C/D class of snoRNA which contain C (UGAUGA) and D (CUGA) box motifs. Lineage: Eukaryota; Metazoa; Chordata; Actinopteri; Perciformes; Bovichtidae. The record is from Ensembl.
AGCUGUCAAUGAUGAUCUUGUUUACAAAACAUUGGGAAUCUCUCUGAAUAAGGGUGAAAGAAGACUUGUUACUGAUGCAGUG